UGAGGAACUUGUCCCGGUCUCUGGGAUAACAGUUGGAAACGACUGCUAAUACCGGAUGACGUCGGAACUUCGCAUGGAGUACUGACGAAAGGGUUAUUGGAUCGGGAGAGCCUCGCGGCCUAUCAGCUUGUUGGUGGGGUAAUGGCCUACCAAGGCAUCGACGGGUAGCUGGUCUGAGAGGAUGAUCAGCCACACUGGGACUGAGACACGGCCCAG
This 216-nucleotide ribosomal RNA is filed under the name uncultured bacterium. RNAcentral describes it as "partial 16S ribosomal RNA". It matches the Rfam family "Bacterial small subunit ribosomal RNA", at positions 118 to 334 of the family's 1533-position model. The record is from RNAcentral.